Molecule: long non-coding RNA, 1576 nt
Organism: Oncorhynchus keta (chum salmon)
Lineage: Eukaryota; Metazoa; Chordata; Actinopteri; Salmoniformes; Salmonidae
Exons: 3
Source: RefSeq, a predicted model, not a curated record
AUUAUUAUUGAAAUUAUUACGUUAAAGUGCCUUAAUAUGCAACACGUACCGAUAGCAAGGUGCAGCCGGUCUGGUCCAGUCAUUCAACGUGGUGGUCUUUACCACGUCGUGAUUGUUGUCACACUGGUUGGUCCUCAUUCAGGACCCAGGUGACUACAUCUUCUCUUAACCCUGUCACACUGGUUGGUCCUCAUUCAGGACCCAGGUGACUACAUCUUCUCUUAACCCUGUCACACUGGUUGGUUCUCAUUCAGGACCCAGGUGACUACAUCUUCUCUUAACCCUGUCACACUGGUUGGUCCUCAUUCAGGACCCAGGUGACUACAUCUUCUCUUAACCCUGUCACACUGGUUGGUUCUCAUUCAGGACCCAGGUGACUACAUCUUCUCUUAACCCUGUCACACUGGUUGGUCCUCAUUCAGGACCCAGGUGACUACAUCUUCUCUUAACCCUGUCACACUGGUUGGUUCUCAUUCAGGACCCAGGUGACUACAUCUUCUCUUAACCCUGUCACACUGGUUGGUCCUCAUUCAGGACCCAGGUGACUACAUCUUCUCUUAACCCUGUCACACUGGUUGGUUCUCAUUCAGGACCCAGGUGACUACAUCUUCUCUUAACCCUGUCACACUGGUUGGUUCUCAUUCAGGACCCAGGUGACUACAUCUUCUCUUAACCCUGUCACACUGGUUGGUCCUCAUUCAGGACCCAGGUGACUACAUCUUCUCUUAACCCUGUCACACUGGUUGGUCCUCAUUCAGGACCCAGGUGACUACAUCUUCUCUUAACCCUGUCACACUGGUUGGUCCUCAUUCAGGACCCAGGUGACUACAUCUUCUCUUAACCCUGUCACACUGGUUGGUCCUCAUUCAGGACCCAGGUGACUACAUCUUCUCUUAACCCUGUCACACUGGUUGGUUCUCAUUCAGGACCCAGGUGACUACAUCUUCUCUUAACCCUGUCACACUGGUUGGUCCUCAUUCAGGACCCAGGUGACUACAUCUUCUCUUAACCCUGUCACACUGGUUGGUUCUCAUUCAGGACCCAGGUGACUACAUCUUCUCUUAACCCUGUCACACUGGUUGGUCCUCAUUCAGGACCCAGGUGACUACAUCUUCUCUUAACCCUGUCACACUGGUUGGUUCUCAUUCAGGACCCAGGUGACUACAUCUUCUCUUAACCCUGUCACACUGGCUGGUCCUCAUUCAGGACCCAGGUGACUACAUGUUCUCUUAACCCUGUCACACUGGUUGGUCCUCAUUCAGGACCCAGGUGACUACAUCUUCUCUUAACCCUGUCACACUGGUUGGUCCUCAUUCAGGACCCAGGUGACUACAUCUUCUCUUAACCCUGUCACACUGGUUGGUCCUCAUUCAGGACCCAGGUGACUACAUCUUCUCUUAACCCUGUCACACUGGUUGGUCCUCAUUCAGGACCCAGGUGACUACAUCUUCUCUUAACCCUGUCACACUGGUUGGUCCUCAUUCAGGACCCAGGUGACUACAUCUUCUCUUAACCCUGUCACACUGGUUGGUCCUCAUUCAGGACUCAGGUGACUACAUCUUCUCUUAACCCUGGA